GUUUGCGAUCAUACCAGCACUAAUGCAAAGGAUCCCAUUAAAACUCCGCAGUUAAACGUGUUUGGGCGAGAGUAGUACUAGGAUGAGACCGUCCUCGUGCUGCACGCC
Molecule: ribosomal RNA, 108 nt
Filed under: Macleaya cordata
Lineage: Eukaryota; Viridiplantae; Streptophyta; Magnoliopsida; Ranunculales; Papaveraceae
Source: RNAcentral